RNAcentral lists this ribosomal RNA (253 nucleotides) under uncultured bacterium. RNAcentral describes it as "partial 16S ribosomal RNA". It matches the Rfam family "Bacterial small subunit ribosomal RNA", at positions 524 to 776 of the family's 1533-position model. The record is from RNAcentral.
UACGGAGGGCGCAAGCGUUGUUCGGAAUCACUGGGCGUAAAGCGCGUGUAGGCGGCCGGGCAAGUCGGAUGUGAAAUCCCGAGGCUCAACCUCGGAACUGCAUUCGAAACUGCCCGGCUCGAGUCCCGGAGAGGAUGGCGGAAUUCCCGGUGUAGGGGUGAAAUCCGUAGAUAUCGGGAGGAACACCAGUGGCGAAGGCUGCCAUCUGGACGGUGACUGACGCUGAGACGCGAAAGCGUGGGGAGCAAACAGG